GUAGCAGCACGCUUUUCAGUGCGACGGUUGCCACCAUUGGCAACACCGGCGUUGUUGCCCAGGUAUCACCUUGGCGUUUUACAGAGACGCAAUGAAAAGCGGAGACCAAUUCGCUUGGAAGUGCACCCUGUGUGUUGCAGCUAUGCCAGUGCUAAGGGAUCCAACUGCCAAUGGAGAACCGGUUUCACCAAGAGACCCAAGUGUGACCGGCCAGACUUAAAUUCCUGUAAUUAUGCUGCCAGGUCCCGUCUGUAAAAUAUUUCUUUGUCGAUGUCUGAUAUUUUUAGCAUAAACAGCGAUGCGAAAGUUGUCGGAGCAUGCGAGCGCCCUCUUGUGUUUUCCGUUGAAUAGAGCAUACAUAGUUGCGUAACAAUUUGCAUAUGACAUGCAGUGCGAAAAAGCCUUUUAUUCCGUGCAGUGUCUCAAAAGCAUAGGGCUUCGGACGCACAUUCCGUGAAUUUUUCACU
This is a long non-coding RNA of Patiria miniata (bat star), 467 nucleotides long. RefSeq lists it as uncharacterized. The transcript has 3 exons. NCBI's taxonomy places the organism in Eukaryota, Metazoa, Echinodermata, Asteroidea, Valvatida, Asterinidae. The record is from RefSeq and is a predicted model, not a curated record.